RNAcentral lists this ribosomal RNA (441 nucleotides) under uncultured bacterium. RNAcentral describes it as "partial 16S ribosomal RNA". It matches the Rfam family "Bacterial small subunit ribosomal RNA", at positions 338 to 795 of the family's 1533-position model. The record is from RNAcentral.
CCUACGGGUGGCAGCAGUAGGGAAUUUUGCGCAAUGGGGGAAACCCUGACGCAGCAACGCCGCGUGAUCGAUGAAGCCCUUCGGGGUGUAAAGAUCUGUCAGUGGGGACGAAACCUGACGGUACCCACAGAGGAAGCACCGGCUAACGCCGUGCCAGCAGCCGCGGUUAUACGGCGGGUGCAAGCGUUGUCCGGAAUCAUUGGGCGGAAAGAGUGCGUAGGUGGAACGUUAAGUCUGGUGUUAAAGGCGGAAGGUAAACUUACGUAGGGCACUGGACACUGGCGAGUUUGAAUGCGGUAGAGGUAAAGGGAAUUCCUGGUGUAGCGGUGAAAUGCGUAGAUAUCAGGAGGAACAUCGGUGGCGUAAGCGCUUUACUGGGCCGUAAUUGACACUGAGGAACGAAAGCCGGGGUAGCAAAUGGGAUUAGAUACCCGAGUAGUC